RNAcentral lists this ribosomal RNA (1023 nucleotides) under uncultured bacterium. Its description in RNAcentral is "bacterial SSU rRNA". It matches the Rfam family "Bacterial small subunit ribosomal RNA", at positions 55 to 1062 of the family's 1533-position model. The record is from RNAcentral.
AUGCAAGUCGAACGGAACUUGGUAGCAAUACUGAGUUCAGUGGCGGACGGGUGCGUAACACGUGAACAAUCUGCCCGGAAGAGGGGGAUAGCCCAGGGAAACUUGGAUUAAUACCCCGUGUGGUACAGGUGGGCAUCCAUCUGACACCAAAGGUGCUGCAAGGUGCCGCUUCCGGAUGAGUUCGCGCCCUAUCAGCUUGUUGGCGGGGUAACGGCCCACCAAGGCAAUGACGGGUAGCUGGUCUGAGAGGAUGACCAGCCACACUGGAACUGAGACACGGUCCAGACACCUACGGGUGGCAGCAGUCGAGAAUCAUUCACAAUGGGCGAAAGCCUGAUGGUGUGACGCCGCGUGGAGGAUGAAGGUCUUCGGAUUGUAAACUCCUGUCAAGUGAGAGUAAAGCCGGGCGUUAACUGCGUGCCGGUUUGAGAGUAUCACUAGAGGAAGAGACGGCUAACUCUGUGCCAGCAGCCGCGGUAAUACAGAGGUCUCAAGCGUUGUUCGGAAUCACUGGGCGUAAAGGGUGCGUAGGCCGCACGGUAAGUCAGAGGUGAAAUCCCGGAGCUCAACUUCGGAAUUGCCUCCGAUACUGCCGUGCUUGAGGACUGGAGAGGAGAUUGGAAUUCACAGUGGAGCAGUGAAAUGCGUAGAUAUUGUGAGGAACACUAGUGGCGAAGGCGAAUCUCUGGACAGUUCCUGACGCUGAGGCACGAAGGCCAGGGGAGCAAACGGGAUUAGAUACCCCGGUAGUCCUGGCAGUAAACGGUGCACGCUUGGUGUGGCAGGAUUCGACCCCUGCCGUGCCGGAGCUAACGCGUUAAGCGUGCCGCCUGGGAAGUACGGCCGCAAGAUUAAAACUCAAAGAAAUUGACGGGGACCCGCACAAGCGGUGGAGUAUGUGGCUUAAUUCGAUGCAACGCGAAGAACCUUACCUGGGCUUGACAUGCAUUUUGUCGGCGGUGAAAGCCGUCUAGUGGAGCAAUCCACGGGAUGCACAGGUGUUGCAUGGCUGUCGUCAGCUCG